This 482-nucleotide ribosomal RNA is filed under the name uncultured bacterium. Its description in RNAcentral is "partial 16S ribosomal RNA". It matches the Rfam family "Bacterial small subunit ribosomal RNA", at positions 30 to 507 of the family's 1533-position model. The record is from RNAcentral.
AUUGAACGCUGGCGGCAUGCCUUACACAUGCAAGUCGAACGGUAACAGGUCUUCGGAUGCUGACGAGUGGCGAACGGGUGCGUAAUACAUCGGAACGUGCCCGAUCGUGGGGGAUAACGAGGCGAAAGCUUUGCUAAUACCGCAUACGAUCUACGGAUGAAAGCGGGGGAUCUUCGGACCUCGCGCGGACGGAGCGGCCGAUGGCAGAUUAGGUAGUUGGUGGGAUAAAAGCUUACCAAGCCGACGAUCUGUAGCUGGUCUGAGAGGAUGAUCAGCCACACUGGAACUGAGACACGGCCCAGACUCCUACGGGAGGCAGCAGUGGGGAAUUUUGGACAAUGGGCGAAAGCCUGAUCCAGCCAUGCCGCGUGCAGGAUGAAGGCCUUCGGGUUGUAAACUGCUUUUGUACGGAACGAAAAGCCUCUUUCUAAUAAAGAGGGGUCAUGACGGUACCGUAAGAAUAAGCACCGGCUAACUACGUG